ACGGUACGCGGCCGGUGGUAAAAGCCCAUUUUCUUUUUUUAAUUUGUUUUUUUUUAUUAUUUAAUAUUUUUUUGUAAUACGCUAAUUUUUAUUUUGAAAACAUUUUGGGUUUUAGUCCAGGGAUCUUCAAUCCCACGGUUUCCCAAAGAAAUACAUUUUUAAAUUAAAAAUCAAUUGUUCGUUGUGUUUCUUUUCUAACCACAAAGAGUUUUGGAAUUUUCUUUUUCGGUUUUAAAAAAAAUUCCUGGCGCCCAUUUUUAUUGCAACGUACCCCACUGUAGGUACUUGUAACCACAUAUUUCUAAAUUGUAGCAAUUUGAUUGAUUAUUAUAAAUCGAUCAAUAUUGUUAUAAUUAAUACAAAUAAAUUCUUCCAAAAGAACCCAGCCCAGCUGAGCAGUCGCGGGUACAGCUUCGUCAACUAGCUGUAUUGUUGCACUUUUUUUUCGUUCUCUCCUUUGUGUCGCGUUCGUACUCAUUUGAGUGCACGUUCGUCGCUACGCAGCCGCCGUCGCGUCGUCAGUUUAGUUUGUUUGGAUUUAGUUGUGAUUUUAAUUAUUUGUCUACAAAUAAUUAAUACAUAAUAAUAAAAACAAAUAAGUGUAACAGCAGAGCACGAAUUGCAUCCAUGGUCCUCCCUAGUAACCAAUAUAGUAUAUUGGCAAUAGCAGAACGCGGAUAGAUGGAUAACAUCCAUUUUCUUACAGUGGCAACACUAAGUUUAAUUUGUUUCCACUUCAAAGAGAUGGUAUUUUAUUUACAAAAUUAACUCAACCGAUAUGGAGGAUUCUACACUGUAAAUACUUUCAAGCAACAUGGUUUAAACUUGUCACACUUUCUGGAAGAAAUAUAGCUACAUACUCGUACAUAUGGUCAUGGUUUCUGUAUACAUACAAACAUAUACUACACUGCAAUAAACUCAGCAACUCACGCUGACCAUAAGGGUCUUACCAAAGUGCAUCAUGGUGUUUUGAUUGGUCUUUCCCAUAAUGGAAACACACUGUUAUAAAAUAUUUAUGUAUAUGCCUGUACCUGAUACCUGAUGGCAAGUAACAACUUUGUGGGAAAAUUGCAUUGCUAUAGGAAAAAAUAGCAAUCAUAAUCAUAAUAAUAAUUCUAUCAUCAUUAUGGCCGUCUUCGUCACCAACAGGUUUCACACCAUAAGAACAAAUCGAAGGGGCGAACGAACGCGAACGUGAUGUGGACUAGAUGAACAAACCUCUCCAUCUCUUUUUCAUCUUCACGUCCAUCAUUAAAUCUAAUCCUAGAAGAGUGAAAAUUUUUAGUUCAGAGACCGAAUCAGAUUGCCAAGUUUAAUGCAAGAGAGCAUUCUGUCUCAAUUUUGUGGUUGGUUGCCAUCCAUGAUGUUUUGUUGAUUCUUUAUUGUUUCUUUAAUUUUUAAAGCAAUCAGUGAAGCAAAGAAAAUCAUUUUCGUAAAAUUGAUUUGAUUUCAUAAACUAUUUUUUAAGCUUAAAAUAAA
Eupeodes corollae is the source of this 1479-nucleotide long non-coding RNA. RefSeq lists it as uncharacterized. NCBI's taxonomy places the organism in Eukaryota, Metazoa, Arthropoda, Insecta, Diptera, Syrphidae. The record is from RefSeq and is a predicted model, not a curated record. The transcript has 3 exons.